RNAcentral lists this unclassified non-coding RNA (3049 nucleotides) under Melitaea cinxia (Glanville fritillary). Its description in RNAcentral is "misc RNA ENSMCXG00005014777.1". Lineage: Eukaryota; Metazoa; Arthropoda; Insecta; Lepidoptera; Nymphalidae. The record is from RNAcentral.
GUUUUGGUUGAGCAGGAUGUGGUAUUCUUCAGACCUUAUUAACUUGGGACCAUGAGACCGGCGCGGCGACUCUACCACGCUUGAUUCACGUCACCAGUCAGAAACGAAGUCGCGUUUGGAGAGCACGCGUUUUUCUUUUGAUUUAAAAACGUUAUCAAAACUUCAAUUAAUUUUCAAUUAACUUAAAACCAUUCAACUAUCUGUGUGACAUUUUAAAUCGUGUAUUAUAAUAUAUGUGUGCCACGUUUACAUCCAGGAUUUUGAUUUCCAACUAACUGGCGAGCCAUGCGGACAUCACUAUCAGUACACGCGAGAUCAACGAAGGAGACGCAUCUCUCAGUUUGAGAUAUAUUUUGAUAAUAAGACAUAUAUAAUCUGACAAAGGGACAAUCUAUUACAUUCAAGUGUUAACUACUUCUAGUCAAGAACGAAAAAAAUAUUCGUGAGCCAUUUGCGACCUUCGAUCCUCGAAGGUUCGAAUAUUUACUUUUCGAAAUUUGAAUUUUACUACCGUUAUAAAGUUUGUAAAAUCUGUGCCGCGUUUAGACGCGCCGUUUCUUGAAGGCUAGUGUCGUGUAGUGGUGUUGUAGACUUUUUUAAAAUGGCAACUACGGGCAGUGAGAUGUGGCUGCAGUGGUUCGCUUGCUGCUACCAACCCGCAGCGCAGGCACAGAGGACCCGGCGGAGAAUAGACAGAUCUAUGAUUGGUGCACCGACCAAUUUCCAACACACAGGACACAUCGGGUCGACCGACGUGGACAUGCCCUCGUCACUCCUACACUCCAUACAGAACCAGAUGCAGAGCAAGGGGGGAUACGAAAUGGCGUACGGUGUUAAGGUUUAUUAAGCGACAGUAGCAGCAAUGAGAGACGUUUGUGACAAAAUAGAGUGAAAAUGUUCUAAUAACAUGAUCUUAUUAUGUAUUUAUUAAAGAACCUUUAGUUUUAAGAUUAGGUAGUUGUCUUUUGUUGUGUAUAGAGAAAAACAUCAGAGCUGAAAAUGUAUGAGGUACCUAAAAUUAGAUGAUGCACGCACAUAACGAUAAUAUAAUAUUUUUUUCUGUACCAAAUAAGUAUAAUAAAUCAUCAAUUUAACAAACAAUUUGUCUGUACGUAUAUAAAUGUCUCUAAAUUAGUAUAAUAGCGUUUAUCCGCUAGGUAAAAGCUUAAUGACAAGCUAUUUUGUGCUUUUACGGUGCGUCAUAAACUACUAUUCAGAAAAUCUUUAGAAAAUAAUCACUGAAUUUACUUUUGAUGAAACUUAUUUAUGCAUUUAUGAUAGAACGCGAAUAAAAAUUAUGGCAUGUCAUUAUAAAAUAUUAUACCAUAUAUUUAAAGACAAAUAUAACAUUAUUCUCAAUACUUAGACACGGUAGUACAUAAAUAAUGAUGAUUAAAUGAUAUCUUUACAAAAUGACAGUUGCCUUUAAUUUAAUAAAUAAAAUUGUCCAAUGUUAACUUUGUAUUUUUAUACGAAUUACUUCAAAAUAGUCACAUCUAUUUAAAAUUUUAAUUUGUUUAAAUUUUAUAAGAUCAUCGAGUCGUUUUUGAUGUUCGAAGCAAUAUGUAGUGUUAGCAUCUAAAUUUAAAAUACAUAAUUAUCAUGUUUAGCUAUUAUAUUAGUAUUUCAGUCUUACGAAGAAUUAAAUAUUUUAUUUGUAAAUACCGAAUUACUUUGUCUAAAGUUUAUGUAGUGUGUGUAACGUAAAAAAUAAAUAAUACUUCUAAAAGUAUGAAGUAAAUUGUUCGUACUGAUAUAAAAGUCUCAUACACUUGUAUACCAAAAUGUAGUCCAUGUAUUCCUUUAGACGUCCUCCUGUGUGUUUUAAUAGUUAAGCGAACUUUUCUCAUGAAUAAAGAGUAAAUUGUUUGUAAUAUUUUCCACAUGUAAUUAGUUUUAGUUUGUUGUGAAUUUUAGUGUAAUGUCUUCAUGCCCGAACAUUUUUGGGCAUACGAAUGACUAAGAGAUUAACACCCAAUAACAACAAUAGAUUGAAGUUGUAUUAUUCAUAGUCUAUAGAGUUUUGUAUUUAUUUACAUUCUGUGUACCAUCGCUGUAUUUGCAAAACUGAAGAAAACCAAUUAAGAAAGAAACAACUUCUGUAAUUCUUCUUCCCUUCUUAGUCGUACACUCUUGUUAGAGUGGUCGUCGUUGCGCUGACGAGGUACAUUGUGGGGUGUUUGGUGGGUCGAUAACAUUUCCGAGGGUAGCUCUCCUGGCGAUGUGCUUCCAUUCUUUUUCUGUUGGAGGCGUCGCAAGUACACUGGACCAUGGUCGACUCAGUACCCCUAAUUCUGUAAUUAGCUAAAAAUAAAGAAAUGUAUGUUUUGAACAAACGCAAAUUGUAUAUUUUAUGCAUUAACCUUAUUGGUUUAAUUAAAAAUAUAAAAUACGUAAGUAUAAAAUAAAAUACACAACAACAGGAUUAAAUUAAUCAAAAAAUAAUUAAUAAUAAAAUAACGCGAAAGUAGAAUCGGAGCUGGUUAUAAUUACUUUACUGGCAACACUAAAAUGACGUCACAACAGACACAAUCAAUUGAUUUCUUAAUAUAUAAUCAAUUCAAUAUUAAUAUUUUAAGUUUGAAUAUUUGAAUAGAUAUGGGAAACGCACUUACUGUUUUAGUAUCUUUUAAAAUUACAAAUGUGAAAAUUAUUAUUGUUUUUAUCACAAUGUUUUUUCUAGUUAUAGUUUUAAUAUACCACACAAGAUUUAUUAAAUUACCUGUAGUUUUUUGAAGUUCUACCUUCGAGUAACUAGAGAUAUUUAUUAUCAAAAGCAAAAAUAUCAUUUUAAUAUUUCUGUUUCUCCGUUUUUUUUUUUCUUUUUUUUUUUUUGAAAGAAGGUUUUCUUCUGUCGUGUGUUCAAAAGCACACUCGUUUUUUUUUUGUAAGUACAGCGUUGAUACUAGCCAAAUACUUAUUUAGCAAUUCUGUUAAUAAUUUUGUCAUUUUAUUGUUAAAAUGACAAAGUUGUGUGUAACUCAAUAUAAUGAUAUACAUUGUAUAAUAUUUGAAAAAAAUAUCAGUUGUGGAAACAUGUUUUGUGAUU